UCAAAAUAUUCUGAAAAUUUUGAUGAUUAGACGAUCUUAACAGUUUGAGCAUGUAAAACUUGGAGUGCUAACAAUUUAUCCUUUGUAACUGUGAAGUUCAUUGUCAUCAACUGGAUGUUUAUGGUCAUCUUAUUAGCAAGUUUGGUGAUAUGUCCAUCUACACUAUGGGCCCAUGAUUUGGGUAGUCAGCAUUGGCCUGUAAGUAUGUGACAUGUAUGUUUGAUGGUUUGGAGCAUCCUAUUGAGGUGUGGCUCACUGGAUUUCAAAUUUUCCCUAACAAUAAUAUUAGGUCAAGAAGAUGUAUUUGUAAAAGAAAAAGAAGAAGAAGAAGAAGAAAUAUUUGCAACCAAAGUCUAGUUUGCAGCCAAAGUCUAGAUGUUUUUCAAAUUCAAGAAGACCCAUUUUACAUGAUGGCCUGUUUUUAAAAGAGACUAACUGUAUCAAUUGGUUUGGUAAUUACAGGUACAGAUUGUUUGGUGACCUACCAUCUCAAAGAUCAGCCAAAGAUCUAGCAUACUCGAUCGCUCAUUUCUUCUUGAAGAACGACACACUCAACAACUACUACAUGUAUCAUGGAGGAACUAGUUUUGGGAGAUACGCUUCUGAGUUCGUAACAACACGCUACUAUGAUGAAGCUCCACUUGAUGAAUAUGGCAUGCAAAGGGAAACAAAAUGGGGCCACCUCAGGGACUUGCACUCUGCUUUGAGACUCUGUAGAAAGGCUUUGCUUUGGGGUUUUCCCAUUGUCCAGAAAUUGGGGGAGG
This is a long non-coding RNA of Magnolia sinica, 764 nucleotides long. RefSeq lists it as uncharacterized. The record is from RefSeq and is a predicted model, not a curated record. The transcript is spliced from 3 exons. Lineage: Eukaryota; Viridiplantae; Streptophyta; Magnoliopsida; Magnoliales; Magnoliaceae.